Molecule: long non-coding RNA, 91 nt
Filed under: Mus pahari (shrew mouse)
Lineage: Eukaryota; Metazoa; Chordata; Mammalia; Rodentia; Muridae
Description: sRNA (MGP_PahariEiJ_G0008162.1)
Rfam family: HOXA11 antisense RNA 1 conserved region 3
Source: RNAcentral
UGCCUGGUCUGCUGAAGCUGACGAAUCGGGAAACCAUGCAAUUGAGGCGAACCUUGGGCUGUUUUAGAGGCGCUGAGGAGCUUUCUCCUGG